This 253-nucleotide ribosomal RNA is filed under the name uncultured bacterium. RNAcentral's name for it is "partial 16S ribosomal RNA". It matches the Rfam family "Bacterial small subunit ribosomal RNA", at positions 524 to 776 of the family's 1533-position model. The record is from RNAcentral.
UACGUAGGGGCCUAGCGUUGUCCGGAAUUAUUGGGCGUAAAGAGCUCGUAGGCGGUUCGUCGCGUCGGCUGUGAAAUCCCGAGGCUCAACCUCGGGUCUGCAGUCGAUACGGGCGGACUGGAGUUCGGCAGGGGAGACUGGAAUUCCUGGUGUAGCGGUGAAAUGCGCAGAUAUCAGGAGGAACACCGGUGGCGAAGGCGGGUCUCUGGGCCGAUACUGACGCUGAGGCGCGAAAGCCAGGGGAGCGAACGGG